RNAcentral lists this long non-coding RNA (1421 nucleotides) under Monodon monoceros (narwhal). Its description in RNAcentral is "lncRNA (ENSMMNG00015008312.1)". Lineage: Eukaryota; Metazoa; Chordata; Mammalia; Artiodactyla; Monodontidae. The record is from RNAcentral.
CUUGAGUGAAGAAAAGAAGGGAUAUGCAGCUGUUUCCCAAAACCCACCACCUCCACCUGGCAGGGAUGAGAUCCAGAAUAGCCUGAACUCAAAACUGUACCCAUCUCCUGGAGAUGUCAACAAGCUGCAUCAGGAAGGGCCACCCUGUGCCCGCAUGGAAGCAGUAAAAGACCCGAGCCUACAUCCAGCAUCUCAGGAGCUCCUUACUGCAGGGGAAAGUAGGCCAGAGAACAGUCGUGGGAGCCAUGGCUCCCCUGAGAAUGUGCGUGGAGAGGAAGAGGUAGAGAGCAAUAGCUACCCUGAGGGGGGUGUUCCAUCCGCUACCUGGUUGGCCCAGUUCAACAAAGUAGGUCAGGCCACCCAAUGUGAUAUGAGUUGGUGGUAUGAGGUACAGUCUGAAAAUUCCCCUGAGUCUUCACCAGGAAGUGGGAGAAAGGGAGCAGAGCAGCUGUCAGUGGGGAGCAGGAACCAGGAUGAAGUUGGUGAGGUAGAGAACAACGGCUGCGAGGGGCACGUUCCCUCCCCUACCUGGUCGGCCCAGUUUACCAAAGUAGAAGAGGGCAUCCAGUGCGACAUGAAUUGGUAUGAAGCACAGGUAGAGAAAUCCCCCCAGCAAAUGCCCUCCAGAGAUGAAGGGACCUCACCAGACUGCAAAACCAAGGGGUCAUGGAGAAAGCCAGUCACAAGUAGGAAAUUAAGUGCAGACAAAGAUGAAGUGAUGGUGAAUGAUGACAUUGGGGAGGUGCAUAAAGAGAACUUGAAAAGGUGUGCGAAGACUAAAAAGACUGUGCAAGGCAGGAAGCUGAAAGACCUGAGCAGCGUCUCAAAUGUUAAGACAGCCUAUCUGCUGCAGAAAAGCGCUGCCUUGACCAUCGUGCUUCCUGAGGAUUCAGAAGACUCUGAGUUGGAAGCUGAAGAUGUAAUGCACGAGGCAGAAUGCCUCCUUGAAGAAGUGAGUCCACAGGGCCCUCUGACAUCUUCCAAAGGAAGGUCUUAUCUGAAGGCUGGAAGGAUAAUCAGGAUGCCACCUGAGUGCUCUGUCCCUCCCCAACUUAUGGUCUGGCCCACCAGAAAUAAGUACAGGUUAUUACAAGCUGGUGGUGAAUAUGAGUACGUCGUCCCUGUGGUUUACCAGCUGAAACGACAGGAUGGCUAUGAAAACAGUGGUGUCACCCUCCGAAGAAAACACACUAUGCCCAAGCCAGAGGGACUGGAGUCCAGGAGAGCCUCUCACAAACCACUGGAAUGAAACAAAUUGCUGAGUUCCAGCUUCAAGGAAGAGCUAAAUAUUGCAUCAUCAUGAUGGAUUAGAACAUGUGAUCUCUUUCUUGAUUUGAACUACUAAAGUUAUACCAACAAACAAGAAAAUGUGACAUUGUAAAGUCUUUGGAAUUAAAAGUUGUAAAACAGCAAGUAAGUUG